This 836-nucleotide long non-coding RNA is filed under the name Mus musculus (house mouse). Its description in RNAcentral is "long non-coding RNA chr15:12330883-12331719". The record is from RNAcentral. Lineage: Eukaryota; Metazoa; Chordata; Mammalia; Rodentia; Muridae.
UGUUUUUUUGUAAUCCCAGACCAUCUGGGCUAGGAAAUCUGGAAACCUCAAGUAUUUUGGUUUCUUUUCCCUAGAUGUAAGCCCAGAGUCUGUGGUUGUUUCCAUUAUUUCUCUUCUCUGGAAUACUGUUCACUCUCUGGAGGUAUCAGAAGCCCCAAACUUCAAAAUCAGUGACUUCUAUGGCAGCUGUGUUGUAUAAAGUGAUGGGUGUGGUUGGCAGGCAGUAAGUCUUAUUUCCUUAUGCCUUCUGUUUCCAGAAGAGAAAGCUUGUGAGGAGCCUGGCCUCUUCUGGCCCUUGUUGUAAUCAGUUCUUCCCACAUUUUGAUCAUCUUAUUUCCUCUUUGUUUGGUGUUUUAUUUUUUAGGGAAAGAAAAUAAUCUUUAUUACUUUCCAAGGCCAGAAUCUUCACAGAAGGUGGCUAGGGCAGGUUUCUACAACCUUUAAAAAUUAUUUAAGAAAAUAUCUUCUGUAUUUAUUUGUAUGUGGAUGUGGGGGGUGGGGUGCUGUCUGGAGGUCAGAGGACAACUUGUGAGAGCUGGCUCUCCUUCCACCAUGUGGUUUCUGGAGUUACUAUAUAUUGGGGUAGCAAGUACUUUGACACACUGUUUAUUAUUGGGACAGGGUCUCCAGCACCCUUGGCUGGCCUCCAGCUCUGUGGCUGAGCGUGUCCAGGAACUUAUCAUGAUCCUUCUGCUUCUACUCCUAGAGUGCAGUGCCAGGUUGGGAUUGCAGGCACUUCCACCAUCCUUGGUUUAUGUUUGUACAUCUGGGAUAGGCAAACUUCCCAGUUGAGCUAAAUCUCUAGCACUGGUCCACAGACCUAUAAAAGUAUUUUG